UGCUUGUCCAGGAGGGGCUGGCCUUGCUUGGAGACGUACAGAGAAGAUUAGCGUGGCCCUGCGCAAGGAUGACACACAAAUUCAUGAAGUAUUCCUUUAUUUU
Molecule: small nuclear RNA, 103 nt
Organism: Centrocercus urophasianus (Greater sage-grouse)
Lineage: Eukaryota; Metazoa; Chordata; Aves; Galliformes; Phasianidae
Source: RefSeq, a predicted model, not a curated record